ACCACUGCAUUUAGAAAUUGAAAGCAUUCAUGCAGACAAGGAUGAUUCUUUAUAUUUUUGGCUACCACUUCAAAUGCCUCCACCAAGUGUUACAAUGCUGCACGCAGCCAUACUAAGGAUCUCGCAGCAACACCUGCAGGUAAAAAGCAGAAGCAGUCGAAGUGCUGGUGUGUUCUGGACACUAUGCUUGAAAACUUUUAGGCAAGAAGAGUGCAAGAAGCAGACAUAACAACUGCAUUUAUUUCCAUAAUUCCCCAUUUGAAUGGCCUUUUCUUUUUGCUUAGACAAUGCCUACACCUAGCCACAGCAGCUCCCUCAUACAGACUCCGCAAGCCAAGAGGCCGUGGAGGCAAAUGCAGCCAGCACACCUCGAACAGCCACCUUGACUGCGGGUGUGUCACCCUAGUCGGCAAGGAAACAUUUGAGGGAAAGCGACAGGCAAUGUGGACAGCCACUUCUCCAUGCAAAUGAUACUCUUUCUCUCGGAUGACUCCUACGCAUCGCCACGCCAGCACACUUGUGCACAAAGAUGCCGCGGAGGCACGUGCAGGUCAGAGGCAAGAAGCAGGGCCACUGGUGUCGACAUUCACCCAAUUUCUUUUUCUUACACUGAGGCAGCCAGCACACCUCCAACAGCCACCUUGACUGCGGGUGUGUCAGUAGAUUCCUGCUGUACAUAUGCUAAUAAUAAACUUCAGUAAACUUGAACUUGAUAAUAAACUUGAAGGCAAAUGGGACAUU
RNAcentral lists this long non-coding RNA (741 nucleotides) under Dermacentor andersoni. RNAcentral's name for it is "uncharacterized LOC126545950". The record is from RNAcentral. Lineage: Eukaryota; Metazoa; Arthropoda; Arachnida; Ixodida; Ixodidae.